UGAAUUAAUGUGUUCAGAAUGGACAAGCAGAAUAGUCUUUGGAUUUGAUCCAAAUCCUGAAGCAUUUUGGGAAUGAGAAUGGCUGUACCAGACAGAGAGACCCUGGCGACUUAUGAUACUGCAGAACACAACAGGCACUUCAGAUUGGUCCCAGGCAAAAGAAAGGAGUAUAGAGAUUUAUUCUCCCACUGGCAUGAAUGCUGUGAUUCUGACCACCUUCUACAUCACUGUCUACCACCCCUACACCAGCUCUUAGAAGACAGAGUAACUACAGG
RNAcentral lists this long non-coding RNA (275 nucleotides) under Pongo abelii (Sumatran orangutan). RNAcentral's name for it is "lincRNA". The record is from RNAcentral. Lineage: Eukaryota; Metazoa; Chordata; Mammalia; Primates; Hominidae.